UACGGGGGGGGCAAGCGUUGUUCGGAUUUACUGGGCGUAAAGGGCGCGUAGGCGGUCGUGACAAGUCACUUGUGAAAUCUCCGGGCUUAACUCGGAACGGUCAAGUGAUACUGUCGGACUAGAGUACAGAAGGGGCAACUGGAAUUCUCGGUGUAGCGGUGAAAUGCGUAGAUAUCGAGAGGAACACCUGCGGCGAAGGCGGGUUGCUGGGCUGAUACUGACGCUGAGGCGCGAAAGCCAGGGGAGCGAACAGG
RNAcentral lists this ribosomal RNA (254 nucleotides) under uncultured bacterium. RNAcentral's name for it is "partial 16S ribosomal RNA". It matches the Rfam family "Bacterial small subunit ribosomal RNA", at positions 524 to 776 of the family's 1533-position model. The record is from RNAcentral.